GACGAACGCUGGCGGCGUGCUUAACACAUGCAAGUCGAACGCUGAAGGCCCAGCUUGCUGGGUUGGAUGAGUGGCGAACGGGUGAGUAACACGUGAGUAACCUGCCCCCUUCUUUGGGAUAACGGUCGGAAACGGCUGCUAAUACCGGGUAUUCACUGUCCUUCGCAUGGGGGGUGGUGGAAAGGUUUUUUCUGGUGGGGGAUGGGCUCGCGGCCUAUCAGCUUGUUGGUGGGGUGAUGGCUUACCAAGGCUUUGACGGGUAACCGGCCUGAGAGGGUGACCGGUCACAUUGGGACUGAGAUACGGCCCAGACUCCUACGGGAGGCAGCAGUGGGGAAUAUUGCACAAUGGGCGAAAGCCUGAUGCAGCGACGCCGCGUGAGGGAUGACGGCCUUCGGGUUGUAAACCUCUUUCGCUCAUGGUCAAGCCGCAGCUUUGGGUUGUGGUGAGGGUAGUGGGUAAAGAAGCGCCGGCUAACUACGUGCCAGCAGCCGCGGUAAUACGUAGGGCGCGAGCGUUGUCCGGAAUUAUUGGGCGUAAAGGGCUUGUAGGCGGUUGGUCGCGUCUGUCGUGAAAAUCCUCUGGCUUAACUGGGGGCGUGCGGUGGGUACGGGCUGACUUGGGUGGGGAGGGGAGAUGGAACUCCUGUUUUAUUGGUGGAAUGCU
RNAcentral lists this ribosomal RNA (666 nucleotides) under uncultured Actinomyces sp. RNAcentral's name for it is "bacterial SSU rRNA". It matches the Rfam family "Bacterial small subunit ribosomal RNA", at positions 28 to 690 of the family's 1533-position model. The record is from RNAcentral. Lineage: Bacteria; Bacillati; Actinomycetota; Actinomycetes; Actinomycetales; Actinomycetaceae.